GUGCUCGCUUCGGCAGCACAUAUACUAAAACUGGAACAAUACAGAGAAGAUCAGCAUGGCCCCUGUGCAAGGAUGAUAUGCAAAUUCGUGAAGCAUUCCAUAUUAAA
RNAcentral lists this small nuclear RNA (107 nucleotides) under Ochotona princeps (American pika). The record is from RNAcentral. Lineage: Eukaryota; Metazoa; Chordata; Mammalia; Lagomorpha; Ochotonidae.